Molecule: non-coding RNA, 187 nt
Filed under: Verrucomicrobiota bacterium
Lineage: Bacteria; Pseudomonadati; Verrucomicrobiota
Description: Verrucomicrobia bacterium 6S RNA
Rfam family: 6S / SsrS RNA
About the family: E. coli 6S RNA was the first non coding RNA to be sequenced, but its function was unknown until recently.
Source: RNAcentral
UUUACCCUGCCCAUGCUCGUGAUUGAGAAGCAAAGUCCUUGAACCGUAAAUAAACUAAUACGGAGCCUUAAACUCAGAUGGCGGCCGACAGGCCUUAAUUGGAAGUCGAAAACCAUCGAGCCGGUUCCACCUGUUUCUCGAGAGUUCAAAGGAACUGUUACCGCACGGCAUUUACGGUGGGGUUGAU